GGUUGACCUCGGAUCAGGUAGGGAUACCCGCUGAACUUAAGCAUAUCAAUAAGCGGAGGAAA
RNAcentral lists this ribosomal RNA (62 nucleotides) under Histoplasma capsulatum. RNAcentral's name for it is "partial 28S ribosomal RNA". It matches the Rfam family "Eukaryotic large subunit ribosomal RNA", at positions 1 to 59 of the family's 3401-position model. The record is from RNAcentral. RNAcentral also lists the same sequence under 5 other names. Lineage: Eukaryota; Fungi; Ascomycota; Eurotiomycetes; Onygenales; Ajellomycetaceae.